RNAcentral lists this non-coding RNA (21 nucleotides) under Caenorhabditis elegans. The record is from RNAcentral. Lineage: Eukaryota; Metazoa; Nematoda; Chromadorea; Rhabditida; Rhabditidae.
UACAUAGAUAACAAUAUUUCC